RNAcentral lists this ribosomal RNA (253 nucleotides) under uncultured bacterium. Its description in RNAcentral is "partial 16S ribosomal RNA". It matches the Rfam family "Bacterial small subunit ribosomal RNA", at positions 524 to 776 of the family's 1533-position model. The record is from RNAcentral.
UACAGGGGGUGCAAACGUUGCUCGGAAUCAUUGGGCGUAAAGCGCACGUAGGCGGGCUGUUAUGUCGGAUGUGAAAGCCCUUGGCUCAACUGAGGAAGUGCAUCCGAAACUGGCAGGCUAGAGUACGAAAGAGGAUCGCGGAAUUCCCGGUGUAGAGGUGAAAUUCGUAGAUAUCGGGAGGAACACCGGUGGCGAAGGCGGCGAUCUGGGUCGAUACUGACGCUGAGGUGCGAAAGCGUGGGGAGCAAAAGGG